UUGCUGGGCAUGGUCGUGCAGGCA
Molecule: unclassified non-coding RNA, 24 nt
Filed under: Mus musculus (house mouse)
Lineage: Eukaryota; Metazoa; Chordata; Mammalia; Rodentia; Muridae
Description: oocyte_clustered_small_RNA6968
Source: RNAcentral